CGCAGGGGUUGUGGGAAAACCGGUUUGCUCUCAAACCCUAACCUCACCUGUCACGGUGUCACCCAUGGUGGACGCACCCAACGCACUUGCCUCCGACGCCGAUCACCCCGUCCCGCCGUCCCGCCUCCUUUCUAAGCACCGCCCGCGCCGCCGCGCCGCGGCCCCUCGCCCGCCCCUGCCACCACCUGCGCCGCCAGCGCCCGCGCGUGGCCUGCCCGAUCUCAGCCUGUGCCACUGCUGCGGCGUCCGCUUCCCAACGCCCCAGCCGGGGACCAGGCCCAAGCGCCGCCCGGUCCGUCCACUCAGCUCCCUAUGGCGCGUCGUCCUCCUCUGCACCGAAUGCCUCUCCCUCGUCCGCUCCGCCGCUGUAUGCUCCUACUGCCUCUCCCUCGACAACCUGCCGCCCGAGGACUCCGCCGUCGUCUGCCGCCACUGCAAGCGCUGUGUCCACCGAUCCUGUAUCUCCGCCGAACACCGCACGACGGUGAUCCAGCCGGUUGAUGUGGAGGAUUUCCUCUGCGUCGAUUGCUGCCCCACCGUGAGAUCGAAGAACGGGGGCUUCAAUUUGGGGCUGAAUCUGGAGACUUGCUUCUGGGAUCGUACCUCCGUUGCUGGGGAGAAUUCUCUGAGGAAGGCUGCGGAGGUGAAGAUGGCUUCCAAGCGGGGGAACAACGCUGUUGGCAGCAGUGGGUUAGUGGGGAGGAACAGUGGUGUUCCGGUUCUACUGGACGAAGAGUUAGCUUUGCAGCUGCACCUGGCAAUGAAUGGAUCACAGAGGAUUUCACGUUCAGGUAAUUCAUCUGGUGGUGGCUCUGCCGAGACAGGCAAGGGGAAGAAUGAUGGGGUUUGUGGUAGGAUUUGCAACAUAAAUCAGGAGAUUUGUGUAACCAAUAUGAUGGCUCAGCUUGAUGAAGAAGAAGAACCAGGUUGCAACAGGGUUUUAAAGUGCCUUAGGAGUUCUGAUUCCUCUGUCACAGUGGUUCUUGCGCUGGAAUGUGUGAAAGGUAAACACACUGAGGAGAGCAUGAAAGCUAAAAGAAAAGGUCCUCAUGUGAUUACACAGCAGGAUGAUUUGGUGGAUCCCUAUAAGAAGAAGUAUAGCAAAAGGAGCUCAAGCAAGUUGGCAAAAGAUGAAUAUGUUGCGAGCCGGAACAUGUGUGAUGGGUUGGACAUAGAUGCUGAUCAUGGUGGUAAUGGGGUGGCUCCUAUGAAAUAGACUGCUUGUGCCAUUCUGAGGUUAUUGUUGGCAACAGGAGAUGGCACCGCAGCCAGAAACUAGAAAAAUGAACAUAGUAACUUUUGUUUGUGACCAUAUGGAACCAACAGCAGCAGUACUUUUAAAACAGCUCACCAUCGAUAUAGUUGCUGGUUUUCCUGAUUACAUGCUGCAACAGCUUCACAUUAGAAGAAUCUGAUGAGGCUUCUGUGGAAUUAUGAGCUGAGAUGAACCUGAUAUCGAUGCUCUUUUCUAUAAAGUUGGUCAAACUUAAAAAAGUUUAACUGGCAUGGAUUCUAGGAGUUGAAGCUUUCAGGGACAGAGGGAGUAGUAAAUUGCAAGGAAGCCCUUUGCAUCUGUUCACAGAUUGCAAUCAGUUUUGCGUGCUCCGAAGCUCAUAGCUUAAUUGAUGCUCUCGCAAGGCUGCACAAGGUGGGCUGAAUCUUCAAGGAGGGCAAAGGAGCAUGAAGAGGAGGGCUGGAUUUAUAUACUGUAAUGUUUGACUAUGUUCCUUUCAUGUACAAAAUUUCAAUGGAUGUUUCUUCUGAUGGUAGAUCCAGUUAAUUUUUGUGAAAUUUUGAGAUAAAGAUAGUUCCAAAUUUGUUGAUUGUCAUGCUAACCAUGACCUCUCAUUUACCUGGACUUUUUUGCCUAUCGGCAUAACCAGAACCAUUUUUUUCUCUUCUACUGUUCUCGUGAAUAUUGGUCUUGCAGAGGCUCUAUCUGGUUUGGACGUUUCCUGUUUAACAAUGAGAGUAUUGGUUUUGCAGA
This is an RNA transcript of Sorghum bicolor (sorghum), 1987 nucleotides long. RefSeq lists it as uncharacterized. Lineage: Eukaryota; Viridiplantae; Streptophyta; Magnoliopsida; Poales; Poaceae. The transcript is spliced from 4 exons. The record is from RefSeq and is a predicted model, not a curated record.